AUGGAGGAGGCGCUGAUCCCCGACGACCGCACCUGGUACCGGUUCCUCCCCAUCCUCGCUUGGAUCGUCGCUGACGCUGAGGAGGCCGGCCACACGCUCGAGCAUGGGGCGGAUGAGCUCGAGCGCGCCGCCGCGGAGGCGAACCGCAUCGCCGACCUGGCCCACGGGGGCUCCGACCGGGCGGUCCUGGUCCUCCUCCGCCGCGACGUCCACCGCGUCCUCAACCUCGAGCGCGACCGGGUCGCUGACCUCCGCCGCGAGGCGCCCGACCUCGCCGCCGCCGCCGAUCCGGGGCCCCCCUAUCGCCCGAACUCUGGCCCUCUGGUCAACGUCGGCCGCGGACUCGAGCUUCUUCUGGGCACCGAGCCUUCUGAGGAGGCGAUACACUCCUCUCUGCGCUGGGAGGACAAUCGUCACGUCUGGUAUCCGGAGUGGCUCGUCGGCGUGAGGAGGGAGGUGAGGCACGCGCUCCGCAGGCUGAACCGCGCGCGGGCCGAGCUAGAGCAUGUUCCCCUUGCAGUGGCCGAUUUUCUUGCGGUGGCUACUUCGCCGGAGGGAGCUGCCACCGCCGUCGAGGCAUGUGAGGCGAACGCCGAUGGGUAUGCCACCGAGGCUCAGCACGCCCGUCGGGCCGUGGCGAAUCUGGACAACGUCCUCAACAUCCUGCAAGGGCGGGAUGACAUUCUUCAUGUUCCACCACCGGGCCGCGUCAGAUACUUCUUCGGCUACGCCGACAACGCAGGGAAAAUGUUGCUUGUACAUUACCUGAGAAGGCCAAGCAUAGAUGCGUUCAAGAUAAGGAUGGCAGGUUACAUCGGGCUAAUAUUUUUUUUGGAGCACAAAUCAUCUUGGAUUGACUGUAAACCUUGUGCUCUAGAUGCCAGGGAGCUUCGGAAAAAUUAUACUCAAUCCAAACAGGGACAUAGACUGAGUUUGGCACUGAACUCGAUUAUGACAUAG
This 960-nucleotide ribosomal RNA is filed under the name Triticum aestivum (bread wheat). RNAcentral's name for it is "partial small subunit ribosomal RNA". The record is from RNAcentral. Lineage: Eukaryota; Viridiplantae; Streptophyta; Magnoliopsida; Poales; Poaceae.